Molecule: ribosomal RNA, 533 nt
Filed under: uncultured bacterium
Lineage: Bacteria
Description: bacterial SSU rRNA
Rfam family: Bacterial small subunit ribosomal RNA
Source: RNAcentral
AAUAGAUACCCCGGUAGUCCACGCCGUAAACGAUGUCGACUUGGAGGUUGUUCCCUUGAGGAGUGGCUUCCGGAGCUAACGCGUUAAGUCGACCGCCUGGGGAGUACGGCCGCAAGGUUAAAACUCAAAUGAAUUGACGGGGGCCCGCACAAGCGGUGGAGCAUGUGGUUUAAUUCGAUGCAACGCGAAGAACCUUACCUACUCUUGACAUCCAGAGAACUUAGCAGAGAUGCUUUGGUGCCUUCGGGAACUCUGAGACAGGUGCUGCAUGGCUGUCGUCAGCUCGUGUUGUGAAAUGUUGGGUUAAGUCCCGCAACGAGCGCAACCCUUAUCCUUUGUUGCCAGCGGUUCGGCCGGGAACUCAAAGGAGACUGCCAGUGAUAAACUGGAGGAGGGUGGGAUGACGUCAAGUCAUCAUGGCCCUUACGAGUAGGGCUACACACGUGCUACAAUGGCAUAUACAAAGAGAAGCGACCUCGCGAGAGCAAGCGGACCUCAUAAAGUAUGUCGUAGUCCGGAUUGGAGUCUGCAAC